GGGGCCUUAGCUCAGCUGGGAGAGCGCUUCGCUGGCAGCGAAGAGGUCAGGAGUUCGAUCCUCCUAGGCUCCA
This is a transfer RNA of 73 nucleotides. It matches the Rfam family "tRNA". Rfam says of the family: Transfer RNA (tRNA) molecules are approximately 80 nucleotides in length. Their secondary structure includes four short double-helical elements and three loops (D, anti-codon, and T loops). The record is from Rfam.